AUUUAUAUAGUUUAAAUAAACCAUUCCAUUUUCCCUGUAAAGAUAAUAUUUUAUAUUUAUAAAUA
Molecule: transfer RNA, 65 nt
Filed under: Kingdonella bicollina
Lineage: Eukaryota; Metazoa; Arthropoda; Insecta; Orthoptera; Acrididae
Description: tRNA-Glu
Source: RNAcentral